Molecule: long non-coding RNA, 135 nt
Organism: Bufo bufo (common toad)
Lineage: Eukaryota; Metazoa; Chordata; Amphibia; Anura; Bufonidae
Exons: 3
Source: RefSeq, a predicted model, not a curated record
CAAGAGCAGCAGAAAAUAAAAUGUGACCGCUGAUGAAGGUCUAAUGGGACUGAAACGUCCGGUCUAGAGAUUCUGUUUAUACCUUGGAAACAAAUAUUGGGCAAUUGGAUGAAGCUACUGUAUAAUUAAAUAAAC